This 253-nucleotide ribosomal RNA is filed under the name uncultured bacterium. RNAcentral describes it as "partial 16S ribosomal RNA". It matches the Rfam family "Bacterial small subunit ribosomal RNA", at positions 524 to 776 of the family's 1533-position model. The record is from RNAcentral.
UACGUAGGGUGCAAGCGUUGUCCGGAAUUAUUGGGCGUAAAGAGCUCGUAGGCGGUUUGUCGCGUCUGCUGUGAAAACUCGGGGCUUAACCCCGGGCCUGCAGUGGGUACGGGCAGACUAGAGUGCGGUAGGGGAGACUGGAAUUCCUGGUGUAGCGGUGAAAUGCGCAGAUAUCAGGAGGAACACCGGUGGCGAAGGCGGUUCUCUGGGCCUUACCUGACGCUGAGGAGCGAAAGCGUGGGGAGCGAACAGG